Molecule: ribosomal RNA, 564 nt
Filed under: Trichoderma sp. C_1_BESC_137d
Lineage: Eukaryota; Fungi; Ascomycota; Sordariomycetes; Hypocreales; Hypocreaceae
Description: eukaryotic LSU rRNA
Rfam family: Eukaryotic large subunit ribosomal RNA
Source: RNAcentral
ACCUCGGAUCAGGUAGGAAUACCCGCUGAACUUAAGCAUAUCAAUAAGCGGAGGAAAAGAAACCAACAGGGAUUGCCCCAGUAACGGCGAGUGAAGCGGCAACAGCUCAAAUUUGAAAUCUGGCCCCUAGGGUCCGAGUUGUAAUUUGUAGAGGAUGCUUUUGGUGAGGUGCCGCCCGAGUUCCCUGGAACGGGACGCCACAGAGGGUGAGAGCCCCGUCUGGCUGGCCACCGAGCCUCUGUAAAGCUCCUUCGACGAGUCGAGUAGUUUGGGAAUGCUGCUCAAAAUGGGAGGUAUAUGUCUUCUAAAGCUAAAUAUUGGCCAGAGACCGAUAGCGCACAAGUAGAGUGAUCGAAAGAUGAAAAGCACCUUGAAAAGAGGGUUAAAUAGUACGUGAAAUUGUUGAAAGGGAAGCGCUUGUGACCAGACUUGGGCGCGGCGGAUCAUCCGGGGUUCUCUCCGGUGCACUUCGCCGCGUCUAGGCCAGCAUCAGUUCGUCGCGGGGGAAAAAGGCUUCGGGAACGUGGCUCCUCCGGGAGUGUUAUAGCCCGUUGCAUANAUACC